RNAcentral lists this long non-coding RNA (4436 nucleotides) under Octopus vulgaris (common octopus). The record is from RNAcentral. Lineage: Eukaryota; Metazoa; Mollusca; Cephalopoda; Octopoda; Octopodidae.
AUAAAAUACAAUUGAAAUAAAACUUUAACAAAGCUUGAAACAGCCUAAUUAUUACCAGAGAUAAAACAUUUAUUCCACAUUACAUUUUGUAAAGAAUAUUUAUUCAUUUAUGUUAUGUAUAUUUACCUUGUAUUAACCCCACAGACCGGUUGUAUGUUCCAGCUAUUCCAAUAUAACUUCAGUUUUCUGUCUAUAUAUUGGGUCAUCCGAUAAAUAAUGCGGUUUUUUAUAAAUUGUAUGAACUAAAAGUCGGGGCGGGACGGGAUAAACUACCUGCAUCAACUUGCUAUAAAAGCAGGUAGUAAUUAUACUUUGUACUUAUUCUUAGUGCAAGUUUUGAAGAGUUCUGUUCGAUUUUAACAGUUAUUUUUUUCAAAACUAUAAUAGAAGUGACAAAGGAGAAUAUUCAGCAUAUUUUGCUUUAUGAGUUCAAUAAAGGCUACAACGCAACAGAAAGUUCAAGGAAUAUUAAUGCAGUAUACGGGAAGUGGAAAAUAAGCGUAAGCCAGUGUCAACGGUGGUUCCAGAAAUUCAAAGUCGGAAACUACAGCCUAGAAGACGAGCCUCAUUCUGGAAGCUCUGUAGAGCUCUACGAGGACGUCCUGCAAACCCUGGUGGAACAAAAUCCGUUCGUAAAUAAUAUGAAUUCUCUAGACGAGGUCAGAACAGUACUGGAGGAGUAUUUUUCUUCACGGAGAAGUGUAUUUUGGUAAAGGGGCCUUGCAAGUCUAGCAGAUAGAUGGAAGAGCAUUGUAGAAAAUGAAUGAGAGUAUAUUUUAGAUUUUAAAAAAUACUUUGUUUAUCUUAAUUUAGAAAAAUAAAAGAAGUAUAAAAAAAACUCACAUUAUUUAUGGGAUGACCCAAUAUUUUCCUUUUAUUCUAAUCCCGGCAAAUUCCUUUCUCUGUUCAAAUGUUUCGUUGCCGGAUACACAAGUUUUACUUUAUUAUUUAAAAAAAAAUUAAUGCAAAUAAACCGACGUUUAAACUGUCGGAAUUUGUUUUAACGGGAAAUAUUCCUUAAAAUGAAAAAAAAUAAAAAAGAGAACGUCGAGGUUAAUAAAAAGCGCGGGUAAACCAUUAAUCAAUAAUACGGAGAAAGAUGAUUAACUGUAACAUCUCUGCCUUCCCGUUUUCGUCCAUAACGUUUUCCGGUGUAUGUUGGUACCAAGCGCCCGUUAUCUCAUAUCCAUACUUCUGGCACAGUAGCCAGUGGAGGUUUGGGGCUACUUUGUCGUGCUUGCGCUUGUACUCUUUCUGCGUAAGAUGUGAAUCACGCUUUCGACCUUCUUCCUACACAUUCUUUUCAUUCUGAGUUUAACUCCGGCCGGGGUCAGCUCUCCUUUUCUGUGGUUGGUAAAAUAAGGCACCAGUCAAAUCCUGGGAUCGAUGUUAUCAACUAAUCUCCUUUCAGUUCGAUAUUUGAGAGAUGAGGAAUUCUGUACAUUAUUUACAUGAUUUACAUUUGACGGAUAUUUGUCCUCAACCACUAUGCCAUAUACCUACGGGCAUAAGGCGUAGUGGUUAAGAGCGCGGGCCACAAACCCCAAGAUUCCAAGAUUCCAGGCAGUGACCUGAAUAAUAAUAAUAAUAAUAAUAAUAAUAAUAAUAAUAAUAAUAAUAAUAAUAAUAAUAACAACAACAUCGGACAAAUACCUUAGCAAUGAGAACCCAGGUUCGAAAUUUCCCCAAGACACCUGAUGAAGGCUGGGGAGUAUAUCAGCCGAAACGUUGUGUUAGCAACAAACAAGAUGAGGACAAACAUCCAUCAAAUGUAAAUAAUGUACAUAAUUCCUCAUCUCUAAUCCCCUUUCAUUAAAUUUACGGAAUGUUGGCCUCGAACUCUAAAUUACAAGCCAAUUUUAAGAUAGUAAGAUGGUAGAAUCGUUAGAGCAGCCACAUUUUCUUUUUUCCUUCAUUUUUUUUUUUCACACUUUGUAUUUUGAGUCCAAUUUCUAUCGGAAUCAGCUUUGCAUUUCAUCCUUCCAGAGUUAAGUAUUGUGGUCGACCGUACCGACUAACCCCUCUCCUCUAAAUUGCUAGCACGUGCCCAUAUCAGAAACAACUAUUAUUCAUGUUGCUUCAGCAGCUUUUGUACGCGUUCCUACCGCUCGUUCCGAUGCACAGCAUUCUCCUCUGGACACGAUGAAUAACAAUUCUUUAUUGCUUCGGAAUCAGUAUCGUUUAUCUUUCGCCCGUUGAAUCAUUAGACUGCGGCCAUGCUGAGGCACAGCCCUUGAAGUAUUUUAGUCGAACGAAUAGAACCCUGAGCUUAUUUUCCAAGCUUCAUACGCAUUCUAUCGGUCUCUUUUGUCGAAUCGCUAAGUUUCGGGGACGUAAACACACUAACACCGGUUGUCAAGCAGUGUUGGGGGACAAAUACACACACACACACACACACACACACACACACACACACACACACACACACACACACACAAUCACAUACAUAUACGACGGACUUCUUUCAGUUUGCGUCUACUAAAUCUACUCACAAGGUUCUAGUCGGCCCGAGGCUAUAGCAGAAGACAUUUACCCUAGAUACCACGCAGUGACAGUGAACCCGGAAUCUUGUGGUUGGAAACCAGACUUCAUACCACACAACCACGUCUAUUAUAAUUUAAGUAUAUAUACCGUUAAAAACCUUCUAAACUAUGGUAUUCAUCUUGAGAAAGCAUCUCUUAUAGACAAAUAAUGUUAAAAACACGGAAAUAUAUCAGGAGUAGACGAAAAUCAUUCAGCAGCGGUUGUGGCUUUGCUAACUCGGGAUUUCUGCUAAUAUAUUUCUGUUGUUUGUUUUUUUUUUCUUAACUCUAUACCUCUAUAAGAGAUGUUUUGCCAAGACCAAUACCACAAUCUAUAUCCUUUGAGUAUGAUAUACAGAUCACUAAUUUGAACUAAUUCUGCUUCUGUGGUUAAUAACGAAACCAUGGUCUUAAUUCGUGGUUUUGAUUUUCGGACCGGGUGCUGCGCUGUUUUCUUGAGAGCAAAUCACUUCAUUUCGUGUUGUUCCAGUCCACUUAGUUGAAGAUGAGGUGAGUUCCAGUAAUAGCUGGGGAGUCAACCCUGCGAAGGACCGACGUCCCGUACAGUGAGUGGCGGGGGAGUGUUGUAACCUCAGUCACUUAUAGGCCGCAGAAACCAAGAUAACUUCAACCUUGCGAGUUUUGGGGUUCAUAAAGCUAGCUCAAAGUUUCAAUGCCUCUCCACACAUCUAUUUCUCUCCCUCCCACCUCUCUCUCUCUCUCUCCCCCCCUCUCUCUCUCUCUCUCUCUCUCUCUCUCUGUUCUGAUAUGAUUUAUGUCCUUUUAAUCCGAUUCGAACGGGAACCGCCUAUUGAGUAAAUCUCAUUGUAUUAUGGGUUUAAAUUCUGGCGAUAAAUGGAACGAAAUUAAGCAUUAACGGGACAUUCCCUUUCUUUGCGCUAAUACUUCUGCCUCCUCAUUAUCUUUAACUGCGUAAUUUCAAAACUGACAUUUACAUAACACAUUUUGGUACUAUGGAACAUGUAUAAUGCAAAUUGCUUAGUUUUAAACGAAAUAAAUAAUGUUAUAAACAGAGGUAACAGUCGUAAUCCACAUGCAAUUGGGACAUUAAAGCAAUUAUGAAGAAUAGAUGUUAAAAUGCUAUGUCGUUUUUUUAUCAGGAUUCUGUUUAGUAUAUACAUUCAUACAUCUAUACACACAUUACAGACACACUGACAUGCACAUACAUACAUACAUACAUACAUACAUACAUACAUACAUACAUACAUACAUACAUACUCACCGAUACAUGCAUACAUACAUACAUACAUACAUACAUACAUACAUACAUACAUACAUACUCACCGAUACAUGCAUACAUACAUACAUACAUACAUACAUACAUACAUACAUACAUACAUACACACACAAACAUAUACAAGCAUACACAUUCAGACACACAGACACGUACGUACGUACACGAACAUACAUAUAUAUAUAUACAAAGUCAGACACACAUAUACACAUACAUUCAUACUUACACAUAAACAUACAUACUUGCACAUAUACCUACACGUACAUGCAUAAAAGCACACGUACAUAUAUAUACGCACACAGAUACACACACUCAUCCACAUGCAUACAUGCACACGCGCAUAUAUACGCGGAUAUAUAUUCAUAUAUAUCUAUCUAUAUAUAUAUACACACACAUACACAUAUGUAUACAUAUACUCACAUACAUACACACUUAUAUACAUACAUGCGCACACAUACGUAUAUACAUGCACACAUACAUACAUAUAUACACAUACAUCUAUACACACACACUCACACACGCGUACAUAUACACAUACACACAUACAUAAACAUACAUACACAUAUACAUGUAUAUGCAUACACGCAUAAACACCUACGCACACACACACGUGCGCGCAAUCAUCUAAUAUUUAUAUAACUUCAUUAUAUCAGUCACAU